RNAcentral lists this ribosomal RNA (468 nucleotides) under uncultured bacterium. RNAcentral describes it as "partial 16S ribosomal RNA". It matches the Rfam family "Bacterial small subunit ribosomal RNA", at positions 28 to 507 of the family's 1533-position model. The record is from RNAcentral.
GACGAACGCUGGCGGCGUGCUUAACGCAUGCCAGUCGGACGGAAAGGCCCUGCUUUUGUGGGGUGCUCGAGUGGCGAACGGGUGAGUAACACGUGAGUAACCUGCCCUUGACUUUGGGAUAACUUCAGGAAACUGGGGCUAAUACCGGAUAGGAGCUCCUGCUGCAUGGUGGGGGUUGGAAAGUUUCGGCGGUUGGGGAUGGACUCGCGGCUUAUCAGCUUGUUGGUGGGGUAGUGGCUUACCAAGGCUUUGACGGGUAGCCGGCCUGAGAGGGUGACCGGCCACAUUGGGACUGAGAUACGGCCCAGACUCCUACGGGAGGCAGCAGUGGGGAAUAUUGCACAAUGGGCGGAAGCCUGAUGCAGCAACGCCGCGUGCGGGAUGACGGCCUUCGGGUUGUAAACCGCUUUCGCCUGUGACGAAGCGUGAGUGACGGUAAUGGGUAAAGAAGCACCGGCUAACUACGUG